Molecule: long non-coding RNA, 515 nt
Filed under: Manihot esculenta (cassava)
Lineage: Eukaryota; Viridiplantae; Streptophyta; Magnoliopsida; Malpighiales; Euphorbiaceae
Description: long non-coding RNA (MESC_LNC009312)
Source: RNAcentral
GUGGACGGAUCCUCUUUCGGGUUCUGGGCUGGGCCGGAGAGCGAGGAUAGAGCUAGGCCUAAAUGGAAUCGGCCUAAGGAGUAGAGGUGGCGUGGCCGGCCUGAUGAGGGGAGCCGGAUGAACCUGGUCGUGAGGCUUAGUGGACUGGACCCAAUUGGCGUGAAUGGCUUGAGAAUCUCUGAGCAGUGGGCUAUUUUCAUGGGCCUAGCCCUAGACGGGGAUGAGGUGAACUCAGGGGUCAUCAAUUGCCCCUUUACCUUCUCGGCAGUUAUUGCUCCAACUGUCGAGGGGGUAAACCCCUAGAAUCAUUAUGACCGCGUCUGUUGAAAUUUGGCUUGCCCUUUCAUCUUAUUGCCACUUGCAGCUUUAAAUCUUCUCUACCUUUUUCUAUAUUUAGCUUUCCUCUGCCAUUUGUGCGCACUGUUACCCUCGUUUUCUUACUUUUAUCUUCCCGGUACAUUUUCUUUCCUUUUUGGUGAAUAGCCUUUAAGGAUUCUGAUGCUACUAGCCUAGNN